This 252-nucleotide ribosomal RNA is filed under the name uncultured microorganism. RNAcentral describes it as "partial small subunit ribosomal RNA". It matches the Rfam family "Bacterial small subunit ribosomal RNA", at positions 524 to 776 of the family's 1533-position model. The record is from RNAcentral.
UACGGAGGGUGCAAGCGUUAUCCGGAUUUAUUGGGUUUAAAGGGUCCGUAGGCUGAUUUGUAAGUCAGUGGUGAGAUCUCACAGCUUAACUGUGAAACUGCCAUUGAUACUGCAAGUCUUGAGUGUUGUUGAAGUAGCUGGAAUAAGUAGUGUAGCGGUGAAAUGCAUAGAUAUUACUUAGAACACCAAUUGCGAAGGCAGGUUACUAAGCAACAACUGACGCUGAUGGACGAAAGCGUGGGAGCGAACAGG